RNAcentral lists this ribosomal RNA (329 nucleotides) under uncultured eukaryote. RNAcentral's name for it is "partial 18S ribosomal RNA". It matches the Rfam family "Eukaryotic small subunit ribosomal RNA", at positions 1470 to 1796 of the family's 1831-position model. The record is from RNAcentral.
CCCUUAGAUGUUCUGGGCCGCACGCGCGCUACACUGAUUCAUUCAACGAGUCUAAAACCUGCUCUGAUAGGGGUGGGUAAUCUUUUGAAUGUGCAUCGUGAUUGGGAUAGAUGAUUGCAAUUUUUCAUCUUCAACGAGGAAUGCCUAGUAAACGCAAGUCAUCAGCUUGCAUUGAUUACGUCCCUGCCCUUUGUACACACCGCCCGUCGCUCCUACCGAUUGAAUGAUCCGAUGAAUAUCAUGGAUUGAGGAUGCAAGCAGGUUCGCCUGUCUUCAUCUUCGAGAAGUGAAGUAAAUCUUAUCAUUUAGAGGAAGGAGAAGUCGUAACA